Molecule: non-coding RNA, 24 nt
Filed under: Gossypium hirsutum (cotton)
Lineage: Eukaryota; Viridiplantae; Streptophyta; Magnoliopsida; Malvales; Malvaceae
Source: RNAcentral
AAUUCAAUCUUGAGAGAGAUCCGC